RNAcentral lists this ribosomal RNA (257 nucleotides) under Mariannaea punicea. Its description in RNAcentral is "partial 28S ribosomal RNA". It matches the Rfam family "Eukaryotic large subunit ribosomal RNA", at positions 1 to 259 of the family's 3401-position model. The record is from RNAcentral. Lineage: Eukaryota; Fungi; Ascomycota; Sordariomycetes; Hypocreales; Nectriaceae.
UUGACCUCGAAUCAGGUAGGACUACCCGCUGAACUUAAGCAUAUCAAUAAGCGGAGGAAAAGAAACCAACAGGGAUUGCCCUAGUAACGGCGAGUGAAGCGGCAACAGCUCAAAUUUGAAAUCUGGCCUUCGGGUCCGAGUUGUAAUUUGCAGAGGAUGCUUUUGGUGAGGUGCCUUCCGAGUUCCCUGGAACGGGACGCCAUAGAGGGUGAGAGCCCCGUCUGGUCGGACACCAAUCCUUUUGUAAAGCUCCUUUC